GACGAACGCUGGCGGCGUGCCUAAUACAUGCAAGUCGUGCGGACCUUGUUGAAAGCUUGCUUUUAAAAGGUUAGCGGCGGACGGGUGAGUAACACGUGGGCAACCUGCCUGUAAGACUGGGAUAACGCCGGGCAACCGGGGCUAAUACCAGAUCGUUUUUUCCUCCGCAUGGAGGAAAAAGGAAAGGCGGCUUCGGCUGCCACUUACCGGUGGGUCCGCGGCGCAUUAGCUAGUUGGCGGGGUAAUGGCCCACCAAGGCAGCGGUGCGUAUCCGACCGGAGAGGACGAUCGGCCACAUUGGGACUGAGACACGGCCCAAACGCCUACGGGAGGCAGCAGUAGGGAAUCUGCCGCAAUGGGCGAAAGUCUGACGGAGCAACGCCGCGUGAGUGAAGAAGGCCUUCGGGUCGUAAAACUCUGUUGCCGGGGAAGAACAAGUGCCGUUCGAACAGGGCGGCGCCGUGACGGUACCCGGCCAGAAAGCCACGGCUAACUACGUG
This 500-nucleotide ribosomal RNA is filed under the name uncultured bacterium. RNAcentral's name for it is "partial 16S ribosomal RNA". It matches the Rfam family "Bacterial small subunit ribosomal RNA", at positions 28 to 507 of the family's 1533-position model. The record is from RNAcentral.